CGUCAUUGAAGUUCAAAGCCCUAAGUAGCUCCCGACGCCACGAAGCACUCUAAAUAACUGACAAAGUACUGGUGCACGCACACCAGCACGCCAUCCGUUGUGAUAAGACGUGGUCUUGAGCAAGAUGCUCAGCUUAAGCUCUCACCCAGUGCCCUACUAUGUUACAAUGAGACCGUCGCCUCCGUGAAUGAUAAUAGCCUAGCAUGCGUGUGAUUCAAGUUCAAGUAUGUUUAUUGAGACAAGAAAGAAAUACUUCUCAAAGGGAUGGAGUAGCUUAGGCUAUUUCUACCCCCCCCCCCCAUGUGUGAUAUUACACCCAGAACUGUGAUACAGAAGGACGAUAAGUGCGCUGUGACAGAAAUAAAACAAAUUUGCAUGGUAGUGGUCGAAAUAAUUACCAAAAAUUAAACAAGAUAUUAUAGAAGACUUCAUAUUAGUAACAUAAUAAUGUUAAGCUCUACACAGGGAAAGCAAGAUUCAAGAGCAAGAAAAACAGGACGAUUUGUAACACCUGGGAUGAAGGGCAUCCUCUGAUGCUGUCUGCAGAUAAAGCAACAAAAAGUUUAGAAUAAAUUCAUACAGUGAGUAAUCAGUAAUUGUAUAUAAACACACAAAAAAGCAUGUGAAAAUAGACCAGAUGUUCCACAAUCUUCAAUGAAGAAUUCAGCAGCUCAGACUUCCUGGGCAAUUACAAGGCUAAAACUUAUGUGGAGCUGGUUGAGACUCUGGUAAGGAACUAUGACACAGUGGGCUGCAGAUGUCCCUCAAAGAACAUAUUCUUGAUGAUCAACUUCGUUAAUUCAAGGAAAACAUGGAGGUGUACUCAGAGGCAGGGCAAGCACUUCCACAAGGAUAUACUGUACUGGAACUUGAAUGCCGCUACCAUGGACUGCUAUAAUAAGAACUUGAUGGGAGAUUACAUUUGGGCGCUGAUUUGUGAAAGUGAUUUACGGUAUAAUUGUACAUCUCGAAAAACCACUCACUCAUAAAUCUUUUUUUAGUAAUUUUUGUAUAACUUUAGUAUAAAUAUAUGUUAAUUUUGAUUC
Procambarus clarkii (red swamp crayfish) is the source of this 1046-nucleotide non-coding RNA. NCBI's taxonomy places the organism in Eukaryota, Metazoa, Arthropoda, Malacostraca, Decapoda, Cambaridae. The record is from RefSeq and is a predicted model, not a curated record.